UAGACUAUGGAAGCUGGAAUGCUCUGUAGCCGAAAGGUCCGCCGCCGCAGGAUGAGUCUGCGGCCGAUUAGGUUGUUGUUGGGGUAACGGCCCAACAAGCCUGUAAUCGGUACGGGUUGUGGGAGCAAGAGCCCGGAGAUGGAUUCUGAGACACGAAUCCAGGCCCUACGGGGCGCAGCAGGCGCGAAAACUUUGCAAUGCGGGAAACCGUGACAAGGGAACUCCGAGUGCCCGUAAAUUCGGGCUGUCCGCCAGUGUAAAAAACUGGUGAAGAAAGGGCCGGGCAAGACCGGUGCCAGCCGCCGCGGUAAUACCGGCGGCUCGAGUGGUGGCCACUAUUACUGGGCUUAAAGCGUUCGUAGCUGGUCUGUUAAGUCUCUGGGGAAAUCUUCCGGCUUAACCGGAAGGCGUCCCAGGGAUACUGGCAGACUAGGGACCGGAAGAGGUGAGGGGUACUCCAGGGGUAGGAGUGAAAUCCUGUAAUCCUUGGGGGACCACCUGUGGCGAAGGCGCCUCACCAGAACGGCUCCGACAGUGAGGAACGAAAGCUGGGGGAGCAAACCGGAUUAGAUACCCGGGUAGUCCCAGCUGUAAACGAUGCGCGUUAGGUGUAUCGGUGACCACGAGUCACCGAGGUGCCGAAGAGAAAUC
This 651-nucleotide ribosomal RNA is filed under the name uncultured Methanomicrobiaceae archaeon. RNAcentral's name for it is "bacterial SSU rRNA". It matches the Rfam family "Archaeal small subunit ribosomal RNA", at positions 156 to 813 of the family's 1478-position model. The record is from RNAcentral. Lineage: Archaea; Methanobacteriati; Methanobacteriota; Methanomicrobia; Methanomicrobiales; Methanomicrobiaceae.